This 253-nucleotide ribosomal RNA is filed under the name uncultured bacterium. Its description in RNAcentral is "partial 16S ribosomal RNA". It matches the Rfam family "Bacterial small subunit ribosomal RNA", at positions 524 to 776 of the family's 1533-position model. The record is from RNAcentral.
UACGUAGGGGGCAAGCGUUGUCCGGAAUCAUUGGGCGUAAAGCGCGUGUAGGCGGCUCGGUUAGUCCGCUCUGAAAGCCCGGGGCUCAACCCCGGGAGGCGGGCGGAUACUGUCGGGCUAGAGUCCGGAAGGGGCGAGUGGAAUUCCUGGUGUAGCGGUGAAAUGCGCAGAUAUCAGGAGGAACACCGAUGGCGAAGGCAGCUCGCUGGGACGGUACUGACGCUGAGACGCGAAAGCGUGGGGAGCAAACAGG